GCGGUCGUGGCGGAAUGGUAGACGCGCAGCGUUGAGGGCGCUGUGGGCGAGAGCCCGUGGAAGUUCGAGUCUUCUCGACCGCACCA
RNAcentral lists this transfer RNA (86 nucleotides) under Pseudomonadota bacterium. RNAcentral describes it as "Proteobacteria bacterium tRNA-Leu". It matches the Rfam family "tRNA". Rfam says of the family: Transfer RNA (tRNA) molecules are approximately 80 nucleotides in length. Their secondary structure includes four short double-helical elements and three loops (D, anti-codon, and T loops). Further hydrogen bonds mediate the characteristic L-shaped molecular structure. tRNAs have two regions of fundamental functional importance: the anti-codon, which is responsible for specific mRNA codon recognition, and the 3' end, to which the tRNAs corresponding amino acid is attached (by aminoacyl-tRNA synthetases). tRNAs cope with the degeneracy of the genetic code in two manners: having more than one tRNA (with a specific anti-codon) for a particular amino acid; and 'wobble' base-pairing, i.e. permitting non-standard base-pairing at the 3rd anti-codon position. Lineage: Bacteria; Pseudomonadati; Pseudomonadota. The record is from RNAcentral. RNAcentral also lists the same sequence under 1 other name.